RNAcentral lists this ribosomal RNA (372 nucleotides) under Portunus pelagicus (sand crab). Its description in RNAcentral is "partial 16S ribosomal RNA". The record is from RNAcentral. Lineage: Eukaryota; Metazoa; Arthropoda; Malacostraca; Decapoda; Portunidae.
UAGCAUAAUCAUUAGUUUUUUAAUUGAAAACUUGUAUGAAUGGUUGGACAAAGAAAAAGCUGUCUCUUUCAUUAAAAUUGAAUUUAACUUCUAAGUGAAAAGGCUUAGAUAUUUUAGAGGGACGAUAAGACCCUAUAAAGCUUUAUAAAUUUAAAGAUUUUAUAUAUUUUUUAUUAUAAUGAUAAUUUCUCAAAAAUUUAUUGGGUUGGGGCAACAAAAGUAUAAUUAUCAAUAACUGCUAUAAAUUACUACAAUUAUUUUUGUUAUUAGAGAGUUGUUGAUCCUCGAAAGGGAUUAAAAGAUCAAGUUACUUUAGGGAUAACAGCGUAAUUUAUCUUGAGAGUUCUUAUCAAAGGAUAAGAUUGCGACCUC